ACGGGAGGCAGCAGUGGGGAAUAUUGCACAAUGGGGGAAACCCUGACGCAGCAACGCCGCGUGAGUGAAGAAGUAUUUCGGUAUGUAAAGCUCUAUCAGCAGGAAAGAAAAUGACGGUACCUGACUAAGAAGCCCCGGCUAACUACGUGCCAGCAGCCGCGGUAAUACGUAGGGGGCAAGCGUUAUCCGGAUUUACUGGGUGUAAAGGGAGCGUAGACGGCUUUGCAAGUCUGAAGUGAAAGCCCGGGGCUCAACCCCGGAACUGCUUUGGAAACUGUAGAGCUAGAGUGCAGGAGAGGUAAGUGGAAUUCCUAGUGUAGCGGUGAAAUGCGUAGAUAUUAGGAGGAACACCAGUGGCGAAGGCGGCUUACUGGACUGUAACUGACGUUGAGGCUCGAAGGCGUGGGGAGCAAACAGGAUUAGAUACCCUGGUA
This 434-nucleotide ribosomal RNA is filed under the name uncultured Lachnospiraceae bacterium. RNAcentral's name for it is "partial 16S ribosomal RNA". It matches the Rfam family "Bacterial small subunit ribosomal RNA", at positions 341 to 792 of the family's 1533-position model. Lineage: Bacteria; Bacillati; Bacillota; Clostridia; Lachnospirales; Lachnospiraceae. The record is from RNAcentral.